RNAcentral lists this long non-coding RNA (1333 nucleotides) under Phaseolus vulgaris (common bean). RNAcentral's name for it is "long non-coding RNA (PVUL_LNC001175)". Lineage: Eukaryota; Viridiplantae; Streptophyta; Magnoliopsida; Fabales; Fabaceae. The record is from RNAcentral.
AUAUCAUAAUAUAGAAAAAUGAGGUAUGUUAAUGAUAGAUUGAUAACAGUUACUAUCUUCAUUUGGUGUAUUAGAACUUAAAACCAGACCCAGUUAUGAGAAACCUGAUGCUAAGCCUACCAAUAGGAAACUUAAGUUGUUUGUAACAUAAAUGAAAGCAAUAGAAUAUGGAUACAUAAGAUAGUGCAUAAUAGAAUGUGACUUCUAUCACUUCUUAAAAUAUCUUAUAAUAUUUUGAGUGUAUCUGAUGUACUUAGAGGAAAAUCACACAUGCAGAAAGUAUAAACAGAUGGAGUCUGACUUUUAAACUAUUUAAAGAGAAACAUGGUGAAAAGAGCAGUAUGAAAGAUGGACUGAAGAAAAAUAUAGCCACAACAAAAUUUCAUAACCUUGCAUUGCAUAUUCUGAAAUAGAUGUCCAAACAAACAAACACAUCACUGAACAUAAGAACUGAACAGAAACAUAUCAGUGACAGUGAACACCACACAUCAACCACACAAAAAAAACUAUGGAGUCAAAAAACAAAAAUGGAAGACCCUUGAUUCAAGUAUUCUUGCCACAGAACAAAUGAAAUUGCAGAGGGAAGCAAAACAAAUCAGUCCAAAACCCUUCAGAUUGAAAACAACCCCAGACACCAAACACCUGACAUUUAUAUGUUGUUGUUCAAAAUCCUUCCUUUUUCAUACAGCCUAAAUAUGAAAAUUCUGAUCCCCAAGUUGAGCGCAAAUAAAUAGUUCUAACAGAAAACAGCUUUGUUAUUUAUUAAGCCGAUAUUCAUGUUUCUUUUUCCUUUGGGCUUGUAGCUAGCUAGCUUCAACUCGAAUUCCAUAUCGGUGAGAGAGAGAAAACUUACCAAUUAUCAUAAAUAUAUCAUGUACUAACAAAUAUAUAAACAAGCUGCAACUAUGUAAGCUUAUAAAAGGCAAGCAUUAGCAUAUUUUCUACAAAAUCAAAUUAGAGCCCUUUUGUAACUGCUGUGUGCUACUAAACAUGUGCCAAUGCACCAAACAGUUGUAAAGGCAAGCACUGCGACAAUGGAUGAAAAAGAAAAAAACAUACACUGAUUAAAACAUUCAAAUAGGAAGAUUACGAGAAUGAGAGAAGAAUAAAAUACAGAUUAUAUGACUGAAAUGGAACACUUCAUAGGAAGGUCGAUAGUAAGUAUCACAAUUGCGAGUCUGGAGAUGAAGGGUGAAAUAAUUUGGGAUUAUGAUAGUAAAUGGAGGAAAGAGUUUAGGGAGUGAGGGUUUUCUGUUCUUCUUUAGGGUUUAGGUCCCAAUUAUUUGUGUAAGGAAGGAACAUGUUGCGAGAGUAUUUUUCCCGCCAGGAAAAU